RNAcentral lists this ribosomal RNA (2318 nucleotides) under Salmonella enterica subsp. enterica serovar Takoradi. Its description in RNAcentral is "partial 23S ribosomal RNA". It matches the Rfam family "Bacterial large subunit ribosomal RNA", at positions 582 to 2802 of the family's 2925-position model. Lineage: Bacteria; Pseudomonadati; Pseudomonadota; Gammaproteobacteria; Enterobacterales; Enterobacteriaceae. The record is from RNAcentral.
CCCUUUGGGGUGUGACUGCGUACCUUUUGUAUAAUGGGUCAGCGACUUAUAUUCUGUAGCAAGGUUAACCGAAUAGGGGAGCCGGAGGGAAACCGAGUCUUAAUUGGGCGUUAAGUUGCAGGGUAUAGACCCGAAACCCGGUGAUCUAGCCAUGGGCAGGUUGAAGGUUGGGUAACACUAACUGGAGGACCGAACCGACUAAUGUUGAAAAAUUAGCGGAUGACCUGUGGCUGGGGGUGAAAGGCCAAUCAAACCGGGAGAUAGCUGGUUCUCCCCGAAAGCUAUUUAGGUAGCGCCUCGUGAAUUCAUCUCCGGGGGUAGAGCACUGUUUCGGCUAGGGGGCCAUCCCGGCUUACCAACCCGAUGCAAACUGCGAAUACCGGAGAAUGUUAUCACGGGAGACACACGGCGGGUGCUAACGUCCGUCGUGAAGAGGGAAACAACCCAGACCGCCAGCUAAGGUCCCAAAGUCAUGGUUAAGUGGGAAACGAUGUGGGAAGGCCCAGACAGCCAGGAUGUUGGCUUAGAAGCAGCCAUCAUUUAAAGAAAGCGUAAUAGCUCACUGGUCGAGUCGGCCUGCGCGGAAGAUGUAACGGGGCUAAACCAUGCACCGAAGCUGCGGCAGCGAACGUAUCACUUAAAGCGAUUCAGCGGGUUACGAUUGACGGAGCGAAGCGACGUCAAAGCGUAUACAAAGUCGAGUCGGUUUAAGGAUACGUUCGUUGGGUAGGGGAGCGUUCUGUAAGCCUGUGAAGGUGGCCUGUGAGGGUUGCUGGAGGUAUCAGAAGUGCGAAUGCUGACAUAAGUAACGAUAAAGCGGGUGAAAAGCCCGCUCGCCGGAAGACCAAGGGUUCCUGUCCAACGUUAAUCGGGGCAGGGUGAGUCGACCCCUAAGGCGAGGCCGAAAGGCGUAGUCGAUGGGAAACGGGUUAAUAUUCCCGUACUUGGUGUUACUGCGAAGGGGGGACGGAGAAGGCUAUGUUGGCCGGGCGACGGUUGUCCCGGUUUAAGCGUGUAGGUGUGUGUUCCAGGUAAAUCCGGUUCACUUUAACACUGAGGCGUGAUGACGAGGCACUACGGUGCUGAAGCAACAAAUGCCCUGCUUCCAGGAAAAGCCUCUAAGCAUCAGGUAACAUCAAAUCGUACCCCAAACCGACACAGGUGGUCAGGUAGAGAAUACCAAGGCGCUUGAGAGAACUCGGGUGAAGGAACUAGGCAAAAUGGUGCCGUAACUUCGGGAGAAGGCACGCUGACACGUAGGUGAAGUGAUUUACUCAUGGAGCUGAAGUCAGUCGAAGAUACCAGCUGGCUGCAACUGUUUAUUAAAAACACAGCACUGUGCAAACACGAAAGUGGACGUAUACGGUGUGACGCCUGCCCGGUGCCGGAAGGUUAAUUGAUGGGGUCAGCGCAAGCGAAGCUCCUGAUCGAAGCCCCGGUAAACGGCGGCCGUAACUAUAACGGUCCUAAGGUAGCGAAAUUCCUUGUCGGGUAAGUUCCGACCUGCACGAAUGGCGUAAUGAUGGCCAGGCUGUCUCCACCCGAGACUCAGUGAAAUUGAACUCGCUGUGAAGAUGCAGUGUACCCGCGGCAAGACGGAAAGACCCCGUGAACCUUUACUAUAGCUUGACACUGAACAUUGAGCCUUGAUGUGUAGGAUAGGUGGGAGGCUUUGAAGUGUGGACGCCAGUCUGCAUGGAGCCGACCUUGAAAUACCACCCUUUAAUGUUUGAUGUUCUAACGUGGACCCGUAAUCCGGGUUGCGGACAGUGUCUGGUGGGUAGUUUGACUGGGGCGGUCUCCUCCUAAAGAGUAACGGAGGAGCACGAAGGUUGGCUAAUCCUGGUCGGACAUCAGGAGGUUAGUGCAAUGGCAUAAGCCAGCUUGACUGCGAGCGUGACGGCGCGAGCAGGUGCGAAAGCAGGUCAUAGUGAUCCGGUGGUUCUGAAUGGAAGGGCCAUCGCUCAACGGAUAAAAGGUACUCCGGGGAUAACAGGCUGAUACCGCCCAAGAGUUCAUAUCGACGGCGGUGUUUGGCACCUCGAUGUCGGCUCAUCACAUCCUGGGGCUGAAGUAGGUCCCAAGGGUAUGGCUGUUCGCCAUUUAAAGUGGUACGCGAGCUGGGUUUAGAACGUCGUGAGACAGUUCGGUCCCUAUCUGCCGUGGGCGCUGGAGAACUGAGGGGGGCUGCUCCUAGUACGAGAGGACCGGAGUGGACGCAUCACUGGUGUUCGGGUUGUCAUGCCAAUGGCACUGCCCGGUAGCUAAAUGCGGAAGAGAUAAGUGCUGAAAGCAUCUAAGCACGAAACUUGCCCCGA